This 394-nucleotide transfer-messenger RNA is filed under the name Corynebacterium mucifaciens. RNAcentral describes it as "Standard tmRNA". It matches the Rfam family "transfer-messenger RNA". Rfam says of the family: Bacterial tmRNA, also known as 10Sa RNA or SsrA, is named for its dual tRNA and mRNA-like properties. The record is from RNAcentral. Lineage: Bacteria; Bacillati; Actinomycetota; Actinomycetes; Mycobacteriales; Corynebacteriaceae. RNAcentral also lists the same sequence under 1 other name.
GGGGUCGAUUCUGGUUUCGACUUCAUCUACUUAGCCAGGGGAAGCGUGCCGGUGCAGGCAGGAGACCACCGCAAGCGUCGCUGUAAAACAAUAAACGCAGAGAAGAACUCUCAGCGUGACUACGCCCUCGCUGCCUAAUUAGAAUAGGUUCAGCGACCUGCGUGUCCGUCAGGCCGGGGAUGUCCCCGCCCCGGUACCUGGCGUCGACUUAGGGGACUUGCCUUCCGGCCCUGUCAGUGGGGCCUUGGAAGGGACAUUUUCCACUGACUGGGCCCGUCAUCCGGACAUGUUCGCCUGAUCCGGAGGGUCGAGGAGAGACAGUGUGCGAACUGCGCACGGAGAAGCCCUGGCGCGGUGGUGAAGGACCCGGGUUCAAUUCCCGGCGGCUCCACCG